CUAAAAUGUAAGAAAUGAAUUUCAAUUCAUUAAAAAUUCCUAAUUACAAUUGGGCAAAAGCCAUUUAAAUUGAAAUUAAGAAAAUAAAAAGCCUAAAAAGCUAAGCAGGCAAGGGAGGGAAAUGAGCACCAACAAAGGGAAUGAUGGCAUUGGUCUACUGCUUUAGAAGUUUCGUUAUACCCUCCAGCUUCAUCUUCAAGUUUGAUCACAUGCUGCCUCCGUGGGAGUCUAAGGUUCUCCCUCUUCCAAAAAUUCUGACCUCAACUCGGUGGUGUUGAAAAUUGAGUGUACCUCAAUCUAUUUCACCAUCUUGAUGUAAGCAAACUUCCUUCAAUAUCUGUCGAAGCUCUGAUACUCUUUAUUAAGUUAAACAUGGCUGUAUACUGCUUCACAACAUAUUUGCCAGCAGAUUGGGCUUCUUCCCUAACACAUUCCAUCUCUUCAGUAAGGCCAUUAGCUCCGGAGUUAAGCUUUCCCACCCAUUGGUUCAACACAGCAAUCUCUUUAUUUGACCUCUCCAAGGCCUUGGUAGCCAAUUUUUGAUAAGCGUCAAAAGUCUCCACUCGCUUGGUCAAAGAAGUCACUCCACUCUGGAAUAAGUGGAUUUCUUCUUUAAGUUUUCAAUCUCUGUAGGGCAGAGGCAACCUUUACGGACUCCUCGGCUUACUACUUUUUUACGGCCUCAACAUCGGCCUUACUUUCUUGGCCUCUUCCUCAGUCUUGGAGGUCUUAUUAAAAAAUUCCUUAUUUUUCUUCUGAUGUUUUUAUAGGGGACUUCAAUCUCUAUGGAAAUUCCAAAUGCCUUUCGUGUUUGGCUUAUCAUUGUAGCAAAAAUGUCAGCCGAAUCACUGGACUCGGCAAAGGUCUUCCAUCUAUCCCUUCAAUGCUUGUGAAAUGUGGCAGUAGCCAUUUUGGACCUUUGGAGAUAGUAUGGACAGAGCCUUCGAAACUAGUUUAUCAUUCAUCUUUGACAAGGAGAGCUUCGUCCGGUGAUGUGCCACACCCAAAAUAGUUGAGGUAUCAUUCGACACUCUCCCUUUAUUUGAAAACUUUUGCCUCUGAUGCUCCAAUGAAGACGGCCUCUUCUAUCCCUCCUCAUUACAGCGAUAAAUGCUGCCAUCAACUUCUCUCCUACAGGGACUUCAAAUCGAGGGGGCAGAUUAAUAGUAGAUCCUCUCUCAGGUAGAAGAGAAUAUAAAUUUUUUUGGGGACCUUAUCCACCCUAUUCUUCCCAUUGUGCUUUGAAGGGGGUCAUCUGUCACCUUCAUGACCAGUAGUUUCCUUGCUAGCCUUUUCCACUUUGUCCAUCACCUGCUUGGCAGCAGCAAAUAAGGGCUUAAACCUUCUUCCCAACCAUGGAGGUCGUGGCUAGGAUGGAAGCAAUGUUUGGGGUUGGGUACUUCAUCUUUUCAAAAUUUUCUGCAAACAAAAGGAAAACAUGAUCAGUAUAAAUGUUACUGUACAAACAGUAAGGAAAAUUUUUAAGUGUUGCCUCUUAAAUAAACGACGAGCAACGAUCAACCGUUUGAACUUUCGAGAAGGUAAAGGACGAAGGUAGAUGUCUUCUACAACACCCUACUUUGCCUGCAUAAAUUUGAUGCGAUUAAUCGACCCUGCAACAUAUUGAAACUCAGAGUCAAAUUAAUUGCAGCACAAAGACAACUAAAAGUGGGACACUUAUGUGCUUUGGAGUAGGUGGUUGGAACUAUCACGUGAGGGACCUUCUCAACUUCACACGUCUGCUGCUAUCCCUCAUUAAAACCAAGUCUCCUUCCAUCGUUUGAUGGAGGUGAAAAACUUAUGACUAAUGGGAAGUGUGCCUCCCCAACAGACACAGAGUACCAAUCCUUGGAGUCCAUUUUCCUAAUACAAUACGCUAAAAAAUGGAUUGGAAAACGUGAAAAGGCAUGUCCUCACCAAAGAAGGUCUCCUUCCAUUGAAGGUAGGGACCCACUAAUUGAGCCCAAACAUUGGGGAUGAGUUGGG
This 1986-nucleotide long non-coding RNA is filed under the name Olea europaea subsp. europaea. The record is from RNAcentral. Lineage: Eukaryota; Viridiplantae; Streptophyta; Magnoliopsida; Lamiales; Oleaceae.